This 498-nucleotide ribosomal RNA is filed under the name uncultured bacterium. RNAcentral's name for it is "partial 16S ribosomal RNA". It matches the Rfam family "Bacterial small subunit ribosomal RNA", at positions 29 to 507 of the family's 1533-position model. The record is from RNAcentral.
AGCGAACGCUGGCGGCGUGCCUAACACAUGCUAGUCGAACGUGAAAAGGGAAACCUGAGUAAAGUGGCGUACGGGUGAGUAACGCGUAGGUAAUCUACCCCAGAAUCUGGAAUAACCUGCCGAAAGGCGGGCUAAUACUGGAUAGAGCGAGGGAACUCGUAAGAGAGUUUUUCGGGAAAGGGAGCCCGCAAGGGCCUUCGUUCUGGGAUGAGCCUGCGUCUCAUUAGCUAGUUGGUAAGGUAACGGCUUACCAAGGCGAUGAUGAGUAGCUGGUCUGAGAGGAUGAUCAGCCACACUGGAACUGAAACACGGUCCAGACUCCUACGGGAGGCAGCAGUGGGGAAUCUUGCGCAAUGGACGAAAGUCUGACGCAGCCACGCCGCGUGAGUGAAGAAGGCCUUCGGGUUGUAAAGCUCUGUCGGAUGGGACGAACAUCUUCAUAGUGAAUAGCUAUGAGGACUGACGGUACCAUCAAAGGAAGCACCGGCUAACUCCGUG